Molecule: transfer RNA, 72 nt
Filed under: Succinatimonas hippei YIT 12066
Lineage: Bacteria; Pseudomonadati; Pseudomonadota; Gammaproteobacteria; Aeromonadales; Succinivibrionaceae
Rfam family: tRNA
About the family: Transfer RNA (tRNA) molecules are approximately 80 nucleotides in length. Their secondary structure includes four short double-helical elements and three loops (D, anti-codon, and T loops).
Source: Rfam by way of RNAcentral
GGGGGUAUAGCUCAGUCGGGAGAGUGCCUGAAUCGCAUUCAGGAGGCAGCGGUUCGAUCCCGCUUACCUCCA